CUUUUACUUUAAAAUUAUUUUUAUUCUAAAUACCUUUUUCUCAUAAGUAAAAAUUUAUUAAUUAUAAGAUCAGGAAAAAUUUAAGGGUCGCCUACUAAACCAGGCCUAUAGAAUAUCCCCAACCUAAGCAUAUUUAUUUAGCAUAUUUAUUUAGUACCCUAAUAUGACAGCUUAUCGCGCAAACCAAGUCCACCACAUAUUAUGCCAACCCAGGCGUAGCAGUCAUAUCUUUUGAAUAAGGAGAUUCACACCAUGCUCGGGCUCCAAAAGCAGACCGUAAGUAGGCGAGUGUUGAUAAUUGGGAGAGAUUGUAAAUUUGAAUUUGGAGAGUAUGACAGCAAAGAACACCUUCAAUUCUAUCACAGCCAAAUUCUGCCCAGGACACACUCGAGCUCCCAAGCCAAAAGGUAU
RNAcentral lists this unclassified non-coding RNA (411 nucleotides) under Hevea brasiliensis (rubber tree). Lineage: Eukaryota; Viridiplantae; Streptophyta; Magnoliopsida; Malpighiales; Euphorbiaceae. The record is from RNAcentral.